Molecule: ribosomal RNA, 462 nt
Filed under: Nocardia puris
Lineage: Bacteria; Bacillati; Actinomycetota; Actinomycetes; Mycobacteriales; Nocardiaceae
Description: bacterial SSU rRNA
Rfam family: Bacterial small subunit ribosomal RNA
Source: RNAcentral
GACGAACGCUGGCGGCGUGCUUAACACAUGCAAGUCGAGCGGUAAGGCCCUUCGGGGUACACGAGCGGCGAACGGGUGAGUAACACGUGGGUGAUCUGCCCUGCACUCUGGGAUAAGCCUGGGAAACUGGGUCUAAUACCGGAUAUGACCUCUGGUUGCAUGACCGGGGGUGGAAAGAUUUAUCGGUGCAGGAUGGGCCCGCGGCCUAUCAGCUUGUUGGUGGGGUAAUGGCCUACCAAGGCGACGACGGGUAGCCGGCCUGAGAGGGCGACCGGCCACACUGGGACUGAGACACGGCCCAGACUCCUACGGGAGGCAGCAGUGGGGAAUAUUGCACAAUGGGCGGAAGCCUGAUGCAGCGACGCCGCGUGAGGGAUGACGGCCUUCGGGUUGUAAACCUCUUUCGACAGGGACGAAGCGCAAGUGACGGUACCUGUAGAAGAAGCACCGGCCAACUACGUG